CUGCUCCGAGGGAUCGCUGUGAGCAUUGGGAAUGGUUCCAUUUCUAUAGACCAACCCACCGUCCAGGCCAGCC
Molecule: transfer RNA, 73 nt
Filed under: Asarum canadense
Lineage: Eukaryota; Viridiplantae; Streptophyta; Magnoliopsida; Piperales; Asaraceae
Description: tRNA-Met
Source: RNAcentral